This is a long non-coding RNA of Calidris pugnax (ruff), 510 nucleotides long. RefSeq lists it as uncharacterized. The record is from RefSeq and is a predicted model, not a curated record. The transcript is spliced from 2 exons. NCBI's taxonomy places the organism in Eukaryota, Metazoa, Chordata, Aves, Charadriiformes, Scolopacidae.
GGUGGCUGACUGAAGCCUGCUGUUGAGGCUGUGGGCUGGAGGAAAGGGAGGACACCGAGAGGGUUUGUCCUCUGGAUUUUGUUGUACACACACUGUCAUUUCUGAGCCAUGGGACAGCUGCGAAAUUUGGGGGAUGCAGUGGGCAGGACCGACCACGGUGGCUGCUGCUGGAUGAGAGGCACCGGAGCAGGGUCCCAAAUCCCCCAAGAGCAGCUCCCACCCCCAGCAGGCCCCAGCGAGGAUGAGUGAGCUCCGCCAAUGGCUCAGAACUGGGGGAUGAGAAGGAGAAGCUCUUGCCAAUGGUGAAUUUUUGCUUCCUGGGCAACAUGUCCCGGGCUCCCCAUCCCCCUGCAGCAUCCCCCCGGCAGCACCUGGGAGCAGAGGGAUGGGCCAUCCCUGGGGAGCAGGUACCAGUGCCUUGUCCUGCUUUGAAAUUGUACCUUUUGGUGUAGGUCCUACUGCAGGGGCAUUUCUGGCUGACGACUGAAUAAAGGCUUCUAAGAAUACAAA